AGAGCACAUCAGAAAUUCCGAAAUGUUACGCGAAUCGGAUCGCAGCUGGCUGCGGUGGAAGGAAAUCCACGAGCGCGCGAGCAACGGAACGCCCGCCGACAGGUACGCGCCGUGCCAGCGUCCGGAUGACAGGUAACACAGGUGAUUUCGCACAACGACGCAGUUCGAAUUACGCACUGAAUUAUAAAUCCACUGGAUCGGAUGGUGCAGGUAUAUGCAGGUUAUACAUACUUACGUGUGGUAAUUUGGCGAUACGAUGCGGCGCGACCGCUGGCGGAUCAACGGGCACGUCGGGCACGGCUGGCGCGACGACACUGGAAAGCGGCGCGCUUCGUAAAAACACCUGUGCAUCGCUUGACCGCUUUUCGGCCAUUCCAGGUUUGACCUGUGGGCCCAAGUGGGAACAACGCGCGGAGGCGAGGUGGGUGCGAGUGCGCGCCGCGCUCGCCUACCUGCGCACCGCUCUACUACCUGGCCUGUCGAACCGUCUUCCCUUUGCAUAGACUCGCUAGGGAUCAUUAGUAGCGUCGAAAAAUUCAACCCCUCAGCACCCAAAUCAAUUCCAGGUAGAGGUAACCAUUUACAACACAUACAAUUGGCAAUAAUUUCCAUUUUACAGCCACCCUAAACAUAAUUCAUAGAAUUUUACAUUUUCAAGGUUUCUCCAACUACAUACAAUAAAUAUAUGCUUGAAUUUGCGAAUGCAAAUUAUGACAUGAAUGAAACUAAAAGUUUUCAUAAGUUGAUUGAUCGAUGACGACCGACGACCUCAAAAACGUAUGCAAUUCAAUUCGCAAUCAACCACGACCUAUGCAUAGCAGAAUAAUUUGAAUUCGAUUUUCUUCGAGCAGAGAAUAUCGGCCAAAGGUUAUCUUUCGGCAUUAUUACGAGUAUUUUUUCGAAUUUCUCGAUCACGGAUGUCCAUGUGCUACUCUGCCACAUGUGCUACUUGUCGAGUGUGUUCAUGCGCUGGCGUGUAAUAAGGUCGCGCCGUUUGUCGGUCGAUUUCGACAGGAUAGGGAUACGUAGCGGUUUCUCGAGCCAAAUGAACUGUUAUUGCGGUUAAUUUCUCCUCUCCGCGCAGCGAACGCAACGCAAUGUACUCUCGACAGAAGUGGCACGGCCGAAUUUUUCGAAAUCAAAACCAAAAACGCAUCCGAUCGCAGCUCGCUGAGUAAUUCCACAAAAUCAUUGCGUGUUUGGAUGACAAUUAUAUGAAAUGUAACAAAGUAUACAUGGGAGUUAGGUAAUUUCACAUCUUUUGUGAUUUUUGGUUUUUCCAGCUUAAAAUCCCGUAGUAAAUUACUCAGAAAUAGUUACUAUUUAAGUGUACUUAAACGUAGUAAAAUCCCUGAUGGAAAUUGGUUUAGCGCUGUAAUAAAUAACUGAUUGUUGGCCGUUCUCGAUUCUCGA
Dalotia coriaria is the source of this 1413-nucleotide long non-coding RNA. RefSeq lists it as uncharacterized. Lineage: Eukaryota; Metazoa; Arthropoda; Insecta; Coleoptera; Staphylinidae. The record is from RefSeq and is a predicted model, not a curated record. The transcript is spliced from 2 exons.